This 371-nucleotide ribosomal RNA is filed under the name uncultured organism. RNAcentral's name for it is "bacterial SSU rRNA". It matches the Rfam family "Bacterial small subunit ribosomal RNA", at positions 526 to 896 of the family's 1533-position model. The record is from RNAcentral.
CGUAGGGUGCAAGCGUUAAUCGGAAUUACUGGGCGUAAAGCGUGCGCAGGCGGUGAUGUAAGACAGAUGUGAAAUCCCCGGGCUCAACCUGGGACCUGCAUUUGUGACUGCAUCGCUAGAGUACGGUAGAGGGGGAUGGAAUUCCGCGUGUAGCAGUGAAAUGCGUAGAUAUGCGGAGGAACACCGAUGGCGAAGGCAAUCCCCUGGACCUGUACUGACGCUCAUGCACGAAAGCGUGGGGAGCAAACAGGAUUAGAUACCCUGGUAGUCCACGCCCUAAACGAUGUCAACUGGUUGUUGGGUCUUCACUGACUCAGUAACGAAGCUAACGCGUAGAAGUUGACCGCCUGGGGAGUACGGCCGCAAGGUUG